Molecule: long non-coding RNA, 1289 nt
Filed under: Strigops habroptila (Kakapo)
Lineage: Eukaryota; Metazoa; Chordata; Aves; Psittaciformes; Psittacidae
Description: lncRNA (ENSSHBG00005020877.1)
Source: RNAcentral
CACUGUGACUUUUUAGUGUGUUUCCAUAAUGAAGAAAACAUGUAAGUCCCUUAAAAUACCACCAAAUAUUUGGAUGAAAUCUAUUCCUAGGAGUUCCUAUUGGUUCUUGGAUUAUUUUCACCCCAACUUACUAUUUUAAACAUACAAUAGGAAAAUCAAAGAAUAUUUUUAGUGAUCUGCAAGUUUUGGUGGCCUACUGUUAGGCAGAUAAUAUACACAAAGUGAUACACAGUUAAAACUGGUUUCUUGUCUGCAAAGUAAUUUUAUAAAAAUGGCAUUGGGAAUAUUCAUUUUAGCAUCUAUUGAUGCUGGUUGAUAAGGGAAAUAUCAGUUAAAAAAAUAAUGAGAAGCCCAUUAGAAUUUAAAAGCCGAAUUUAUUUUAAUUUGCUUUCCUGUGGAAGUAUGUCUGAUGCAGUCACUGUGUGCCUGUGUCUGUUUGCUUUCUAAAUUUAAACAACUUCUGAAUUACAUAACCUGUUCUAGCCAAACUUUUGGCUGAGAGACUCAGUCUCAUUUCUUUUUCAAUGCCUUUUUUUGGACAGGGUUGCCUGAAAUGGGUCGCUGGUAACAGGUUAACUGAAAUAAUUUUCUGAGUUCAAAUAACAUCAAUUUCCAAUACUGACCUGAUACUGCCUAACAUUGUAUAUCUAAGGACUAUUUACCCUUUCAAUUAUCGCAUCACAGUUGGAGGUUUUGUUCUGCUUAUAAACAACCGUGACCAUUACAUUCUUAUUAUUAAUCCAGUUGCAUUAUCUUUUGGCUUUAUAUUUUUGUAUUUAGAAGUCUUUUUCUGUUCACCUUUAAAAUUAUCAUGUGUUGGUUUUAGCAGGUGGUUCAGAUUCUUCUGAACAACUGAAAAAUCCCUGAUUGACCAUUUUUCCUGCCUGAAGUGAAAUGCAACAAUGAAACAUUUUUGCAACACUGGUGUCCAAAAAAUGAUGUCUUAUAGUUCCAUAAGCUUUUUGACAUUGAGUAAUUUCAUCACAGUGGAUGGCCGUUUAUUAUUUUAAAGUGGGUGUGAGAUCAGCUUCCUGUAUCUGUCACUUGAUAUCAUUAUUUAUAAUAACUUGAUAGUGCCACUUCUUUGAAAUAAUUCGAAGAAUUUACAAAUUAAAUCAGUCUGUUACCGCCGUGCAUGAAAGUAGUGCAAACCACAGAUAAAACUAUACAGAGCACAUAAAAGUAUCACGAACCAGAACUGAAACUCUUUCCCAGUCUGCUUUAUAAAGUAUUUCACUGUUUCUUUUCCCUUUUCUUUAAUACAAGAAAAAAAAAAAGAAAAAAAGAAG